Molecule: small RNA, 28 nt
Filed under: Bombyx mori (domestic silkworm)
Lineage: Eukaryota; Metazoa; Arthropoda; Insecta; Lepidoptera; Bombycidae
Description: ovarian small RNA-16748
Source: RNAcentral
GCCUUGUGACUGUACUGCGCCUAUGGCU